This 71-nucleotide transfer RNA is filed under the name Stercorarius parasiticus. Its description in RNAcentral is "tRNA-Phe". It matches the Rfam family "tRNA". From Rfam's summary of the family: Transfer RNA (tRNA) molecules are approximately 80 nucleotides in length. Their secondary structure includes four short double-helical elements and three loops (D, anti-codon, and T loops). The record is from RNAcentral. Lineage: Eukaryota; Metazoa; Chordata; Aves; Charadriiformes; Stercorariidae.
GUCCUCAUAGCUUAUCAAUUAAAGCAUAGCACUGAAGAUGCUAAGAUGGUUGCUACACGCACCUGGGGACA